Salmo salar (Atlantic salmon) is the source of this 2750-nucleotide non-coding RNA. The record is from RefSeq and is a predicted model, not a curated record. NCBI's taxonomy places the organism in Eukaryota, Metazoa, Chordata, Actinopteri, Salmoniformes, Salmonidae.
AAUCACGACAAUUCCUGGUUUUAGUUGGGAGAGAGGCGAGUUCUUAGGCCAAGCUUGCUAGCUACUAUUAGCCAGUUGCUUGCAGUACGAAGCAGUUCAGCUACUGUAGAUGGCUAGGAAAGUAAUGUAUUUGCUAACGUUACGUAGCAUCGCGUUAAUUAGCUAGCUAGCAUUCAUCGCAAAUGAAGUCAACCCAUACUGGCCUAGCUAGCUAUAACCUUACCCUACAGAGCUUUUAUUUCUCUUUGAGUUGGCUAGCUAGCCAACUUUAACUACCACUAUGUGACGUUGCACGCUAACUAUGGGUGCGUUCGUAAAUUCACUAGCUAUCUACUCCGAAUUCAAAGCACUCGAAGAAUGAGGAAUUUACGAACGCGCAACAUCCGUAGAAUAUGACCGAUUUCAGUACUGUAAACGGCAGCACAGUCACCACCGCUCUUAAAUAACAUGAAAACAGCCUAACCAGUUCUGCUAGGGUGAUUAAAAUGGCCAGAGUGAGGUGUUCUCUCAUUUGUGUCUGGAAGUAGCUUGUUAGCAAGCUCAUUUAGCUUGGAUGUUUGACUGUUGUUGUGAGGCCAGAACGCUCUGAUCAACCCUACUCCUCAGCCACAGCGUACGAUCAGGAGAGCGUAACCAAAGAGCUGUCGUUUCCAAUGGGAGCAAAUAAAUCCUAGUGGGCAGAACAAGCAAGGAGAUGGGCAGAGCCUAGAACGAGCUAGCGGGAUCCAAUUGGCGCGUUCUAGCAUUUAUUUGCAUAUUUCCGUUAGGGAACGCAUACUCUGAUGUGCGUAUUAACUCGAUUCGCCCUUGCACUCCUAAACAACACUAUUUACUAUUUUGUAUAUUUAUAUUUUGCAAAUGGUAAAGUCUACAAAACGCAGUCCACUGUUUGUUACAGAUUACUUUUCUGAACUGUAUGGAGAUCAAAUGUUUCAUCGAGGAGAAAAUGUGCAGAAUGUCGGCCAAAAUCAAUUUUCUCCCACUGCCUGCUACUGGGUUUCGUCUCGGCAGGAUAUUUGGUAGUGAGUGGAAACGCCAACCAGAUGCUUCACAUUUAUACAUCCGGUAAAAUAUGUCUCAUUGUUCUGUGGCGAAACGUUCUGAAUUUAUGAACGGACAACAAUGAUCUGACAACGCUCUGAAUGUACGAACGUUCUCCGGAGUCUAUUUACGAACACAACCUAGGAUUGCUAGCUAGCAUGCAAAGCUGUCUACCUAUCACUGUGAAGAAGCCUAACGUUACUGAUUGUGUCCACAAGUUUAGUUAAAAUGACAAUAAGCUGGCAUGUAGCUCGCUGUGCUGCAAUACGUUUUUCUUCGCUAAUAUGUUAAUACAGUGUUUACAUUUAGCCAGUUGGCUAAUAAGCUAGCUAAAGCUGUCACAUCAAAUCAAAUGUAUUUAUAUAGCCCUUCUUACAUCAGCUGAUAUAUCAAUGUGCUGUACAGAAACUCAGCCUAAAACUCCAAACAGCAAGUAAUGCAGGUGUAGAAGCACGGUUGCCAGGAAAAACUCCCUAGAAAGGCCAGAACCUAGGAAGACACCUAGAGAGAAACCAGGCUAUGAAGGGUCUGUUGGCAAAAAGCUAGGGUGACCAGAUUUAAAAUACCCAUAUGGAGGACAACAGGAUAAUUGUAGGACAGUGUAGCCUACAUUCAUUUUAAAAAAUGGCAGCACCUAUUUUUAACACCCCCAAACACCAAGUAAUGUUAGUUUCAAAAUGGGCCAUCACUGUUAAUCAUGAAUGACAAUUUUUCACGUCAAACGUCCAAGUUUCAUCUGCAUGUCAAUCAUUUGAUCUCAAAUCAGUUUCAUGGGAAUAUGCAUUUAGAUCAAGUUUUUUUGUGAGCAGAUUACAGCAGAUGGUGUUAAUUGAGCAAUAAGGCCCGAGGGGGUGUGGUAUAUGGCCAAUAUACCACAGCUAAGGGCUGUUCUAAAGCCUACUGCAACACGGAGUGCCUGGAUACAACCCUUAGCCGUGGUAUAUUGGCCAUAUACCACCAACAAACACCAGAGGUGCCUUAUUGCUAUUAUAAACUGGUUAUCAAUGUAAUUAGAGAAGUACAAAUACAUGUUUUGUUAUUGAUUCAGCAGCUUUGAUCUAAGCACCAUUGUGAGAAGCGCUCCACUACAGCCUUGCUCCCACGGCACCGAACGAGCUAAUAGAAACACACGUAGCCUACUUUUUUUGCCUCACGCAAAAUUUGGUGAUGCAGAAACGAGAGACGAGAAAUCUGGGAAUAUUUGGCCAACAAAUAAUUUCUGGUUGGUCUCAGGGAAUGUAAAACAGAUAAGGGAGUAUUUUAAAACGGGACUGAUUGAAGUAGCAGCAAAUAUGUUGAAUGAGCAAAUAGUGAGCAUGGAGAGCCUCAAGUUUUAUGAAAUGACCUUAAAUGUUAAGGUACCUUACUUCGUCAGAAGCACGCAUUUUGUAAGUCGUUAGGCCACCCCAGCGGGCACAUCUUCACGCUUGACACUUUUGAAUGUGAGAAAUAAAAGUAUUAUCUAAGGUUCUUUAAUCCCCUGCUUCCCAAAAUCCUCUUUGCUAGUUAGCGGGAUCGACACUGGUAGACUGUCCUUUUCUUCUGCCUGCGGAACAGAAAUGCUGGAAAACAGUGCCUAACAGGCAGUGGCGAAGGACACCGUCUACCGGUCGCUCCUGCUAGAACAUCAGAAUCAGAUCUCAACGACUGGAUAUGCGUUUAAAGAGUAACUCUCAACCCCAAGUUCAGCCUUUGCCCAGCACCUCCAA